AUCCUUUUGUAGCUCAUGAAUGAUUGGGUGUUCACACUUAUGUGAGACAUGUGCCUCAAACCUUGUUAGACAUUGGCACAUUAUCUCUCUGAUG
Molecule: small nucleolar RNA, 94 nt
Organism: Callithrix jacchus (white-tufted-ear marmoset)
Lineage: Eukaryota; Metazoa; Chordata; Mammalia; Primates; Cebidae
Source: Ensembl